GGCUGAUCUAAAAAACGCUCAAGGUGAGCAUUCCUGUUCUCAAUUGCUGAUAACCUUUGGUCCAUUAUUUUAAUGAGGUCAAUUGACAAUUGAGGCGCCGCCUCUGCAUUCCCUGUACAAUAUAAACGACCAAUACUGAAAAUAGGGAAUCUUCUCCUCAUUCUGGAUACAAAUAACGAUUUUAUUGACCCAAUCUUACUUCGGAAUAACCCAUACGUCAAAAGGAAGAACACCGAGAUUGGCGAGACUGA
Molecule: unclassified non-coding RNA, 251 nt
Filed under: Hevea brasiliensis (rubber tree)
Lineage: Eukaryota; Viridiplantae; Streptophyta; Magnoliopsida; Malpighiales; Euphorbiaceae
Source: RNAcentral